UGGGGAAUUUUGGACAAUGGGCGAAAGCCUGAUCCAGCAAUGCCGCGUGUGUGAAGAAGGCCUUCGGGUUGUAAAGCACUUUUGUCCGGAAAGAAAUCCUUGGCUCUAAUACAGUCGGGGGAUGACGGUACCGGAAGAAUAAGCACCGGCUAACUACGUGCCAGCAGCCGCGGUAAUACGUAGGGUGCAAGCGUUAAUCGGAAUUACUGGGCGUAAAGCGUGCGCAGGCGGUUUGCUAAGACCGAUGUGAAAUCCCCGGGCUCAACCUGGGAACUGCAUUGGUGACUGGCAGGCUAGAGUAUGGCAGAGGGGGGUAGAAUUCCACGUGUAGCAGUGAAAUGCGUAGAGAUGUGGAGGAAUACCGAUGGCGAAGGCAGCCCCCUGGGCCAAUACUGACGCUCAUGCACGAAAGCGUGGGGAGCAAACAGGAUUAGAUACCCUGGUAGUCCACGCCCUAAAACGAUGUCAACUAGUUGUUGGGGAUUCAUUUCCUUAGUAACGUAGCUAACGCGUGAAGUUGACCGCCUGGGGAGUACGGUCGCAAGAUUAAAAACUUAAAGGAAUUGACGGGGUCAUAGCUGUUCCU
Molecule: ribosomal RNA, 586 nt
Filed under: uncultured bacterium
Lineage: Bacteria
Description: partial 16S ribosomal RNA
Rfam family: Bacterial small subunit ribosomal RNA
Source: RNAcentral